AGGACGUUAGCUCAGUUGGUAGAGCAUCGGACUUUUAACCCGAAUGUCACUGGUUCGAUCCCAGUACGUCCUA
RNAcentral lists this transfer RNA (73 nucleotides) under Proteus phage PM2. RNAcentral's name for it is "tRNA-Lys". It matches the Rfam family "tRNA". Rfam says of the family: Transfer RNA (tRNA) molecules are approximately 80 nucleotides in length. Their secondary structure includes four short double-helical elements and three loops (D, anti-codon, and T loops). Lineage: Duplodnaviria; Heunggongvirae; Uroviricota; Caudoviricetes; Pantevenvirales; Straboviridae. The record is from RNAcentral.